RNAcentral lists this long non-coding RNA (3600 nucleotides) under Lynx pardinus (Iberian lynx). The record is from RNAcentral. Lineage: Eukaryota; Metazoa; Chordata; Mammalia; Carnivora; Felidae.
GAAGACACAGUGGUUUGUGAAAUUUGAAUAUGAAAACCAGUAGCAAAGGGAAGAAAAGCAAUUGGGGUGUUUGCCAGAUGGGAGAUGCCUCACUGCUCUUUCGAAGGCUGGUGAGGGCCACUUGAUAGGAAAAGGCUCACUGUCUCUAAUCUUUUGGUAUUCACUCAUGGCAGCCACAGACUUGAGACAGGUAUUGCUUAGAGAAGGAGUAGAUAGUGAUCCCUGUGGACACCAGAAGGCGUUUUUUUCCCCCUAUUUCUACUCUUUCGGGUCUCUGUUCUCUAAUUAAAAUUGGUGUUUUGGAAAAAGAGAACAUGAAUUCUGAAUACAGUAAUAAAUUAUAUCCUUCCCUCAGAUGGAAUUAAAAUGACUGCAGACUUGAGAUUUCCCUGCCUCUGAAAACUUAAUUUGAUAUUUUCUGUUACACACCAAGUAGUGAUUUGCAGAGGCACAGACUGUAAGAUUAAUUGAGGCAGCCAUCUCUUCUGGCGCAUCUAAUCUUACAUCUAAUUAUCUGAUCAUCUGAAUCGCAAAUACAGUAGUUAAAGGGUGUCUAUUUAAAGGGCAGCCACAAAAUGUAAAUAUUAAAAAGAAGCUCUCUGAUUCUCAAGAAGCAUACGUGGAGACUUACAAUAUCCAUUAUGUUAUGCAUGGUAUUAGGUCAGCAGGUCACAUAAAAAUGUGGUUAUGUUGUUCUAUCACUAAAAUGUGAAGAUGAUUCUGAAGUCUUGCUAGGCUUGUUUUGACAAUUAACCUCCAUUAGUAUUCUAGACCACAUAAGAGAAAACUCUUAAAAGGCUCUCUUUUUCAUGAAUGUACUGUCAAAUUGACUUCAUCAUUUAAAUAGGACUGUAGUCACAGUAAAUGAUGAGUUGAUAUUUAUACAAAGCAUAACCUUAAUUAAAAUAUUAUGAGCAAUUAAACCCAGUGUUCAUGGAAUUAUUGUACAUUUAUAUGUAAUAGAGUAAAAACAUUGCAUAGGACUGUUAAGCUUUUUGUAUGAAUCUAAUUAACUUUGACAAGCUUUGGGCUUUUCUCCCCCUUAUCUUCAGAAGUGCUGUAGAUAAAUGUACUUGCAUCUGGAAAACUUCAAACAGUUUUGAUCAGCAAUUCAGGUCUGAUUUAAAAUGUAUGUAUUGAGGUGCCCUCUUAAAUACAGGGUUGAUAGGCAUGCAAUGCACACCUUCUUGUAACAGGAAGGCAGACGUGGAAGGGAGAACAGCUGUACUCUGGAGUCGCCAGUGGGUAUUGUUUUUGUCACAAUUUAAUGUCAGGCUGCUGCUGUGAGGUCUUUGUAUAUGUGGCUCUGGUUAAUGAAAAGGUGAACUCACACUGCUGGUUCCCUGGAAGGCAAUUAGGAGGGAGACAUUGCUCCUCACCCUUAACACUCCUAUAACCCUACGGGAACGGAGGCACUAGGAGGAAAUCCAAGUUCCUAUGGAAUCCCGGGGACUUCUUGUAUUUCAUAAGUGAGGGAACGAAGUUCUCCUGCAAACAGUGAAUUACGACAUUCAGGAUACUGUAGUUCUUGUUCUACUGUGGAUUUCCUAAAAUCCCACUGAGGAUUGGCCCUGACAAGAAGCUAGGAAUUUCCCAGUGUAAUUUCUGUGUUUCAAAGGUAAUGACAAUAACGGCCACAAUUGUUACAUUUUAUUCGGUACCAAUCAUUUAGGUGAUAUGCAUGCAUGAUUUUAUUUAAUCUUCACCCCAACACUUUGAAGUAGGUAAGAUUUCCAGUCUAAACUGGUGCCCAGAGGAUUUAUGUCCUUCUCAAAGGUAUAGCCACAAAGUCUUGGCACAAGAUAAGCCAUAUAAAUAAAUAAAUAAAGAUUGAUAAGGAGACAAUCAUAUUUUUAUAUAUAAAUACAUAUUUAUAGAUAAAUUGACAUUAAAUAUUGAAUGAGAAAGAAAUUAAGUGAAAAAUGUAACAAAACAGUAUGCAAUAGUAUGGACCUAUUUAUGCAAAAAAUACAAAAAAAGAGUAAGUGUGGAUCUAUCUCUCCAUCUAUCUAUACACACAGUCAUAUGUAUAUAAAUGCAGAUAAAGAGAACCAGAAUCGAGCACACUAGAUGGCUGACAGUGGGUAUUUGAGGUAGCUGAGCUGGGGGAAGGACAAGUCGAAUGAUUUUUUCCAAGUUUUUUUAGUAAUUAUUUUAAUUCAUGUGUUGCUUGGGUAAUUACAAACUUAAAGAUCAAGAAAGGACCUUUCUGCUCAAGUGAACAUUUGAAAAUGAAAAUAGGUUAGGGGCACCUGGAUGGCUCACUAGGUUAAGCAUCCCUCUUUGGCUCAGGACAUAAUCUCAUGGCUCUUGAGUUCGAGGCCCACCUUGUGGAGCCUGUCUGGAUUUCCUUCUCUCGCCCUCUCUCUGCCCCUCUCCCCACACUCUCUCUGAAAAUAAAUAAAUAAAUAUUAAAAAAAAGAAAAUGAAAAUAGCUUAAAAGAGAAAGUGGUGACAACGCUGAUGUCAGCUAGAGCUAUCUGCCCCCAAUAUUUGUGCUUUUUCUACUAAACUAUGUGGCCUUUUAAAAUGUGUGAUUAAAAUGUUUCAAGAAUCCCAUGAAAGGGGAUGGUGAAUCUCCUGACUCCCUUUGGUCCUUAGAAAACCCUGCUUAUACAUAGCUGACUUGGGAAUACAUCAGAAUUCCAUCCUUAAUCUAUUUGAGCCAAUCAAUAUAUGUCGAGUACCUAUGAUGUGUCGCUUGCACUGUAAAACCCAGAGGGGACUGAGGAGAUGAAUAAGGCACUGACUCUGCCCUUAAGGUGUUUACAGCAUCAUGAACAGGCACACUGGUAUCCAAACCACUGAUAGACAGAGUCCAGUGUCAUACCUGUGGUAGCAAUGGGAGGAACAAUGUGCCAUGGGACAUUCAAGAGGGGCAGUAAGGCUGGGGCUUCCAUAAAAAUCUUUUGGGACCUAGGUUUAUAUCCAGGAGCUGGGCAUGAUGUCAGAUACUAAGAGGUGGCCCUGUCCUCAAGGACUAUGUGUUAUUGUAGGAAAGAGAACAUUAAAACAUGGGGAAAUAAUAAAAAGCAAGAAUUGCCAGAAAAAGUAUAUAACUGAAUGCCAAGUAAUGUAAGUUAGGCCCUAAGUGAAAUAGGAAUUCAGAAAAUGAAAUGAUCACCGUGGGUAAGGUUUAUAAAGGAAGGUUUCAUAAAGAAAUAAAUUACCAGCAUUUUCAUCUGCUUAGUAGUGGCUCUCUAAAAGAGCAGUGGCUAGUCUUGAAAUUUACACGUUGAAAUUAACCUUUGAGUAGAGUGUCUUCAUUUUCUGACCCUUGUUCAAAAAUAAACAAACAGAAUAAUGAUUAAAUGCAUCCAUAGCUUCACUUGUGUGUGUGUGUGUCUAUUUAUAUAUAUAUAAAUAUAUAUAUAUUAUUUAUAUUUAUAUUUAUGUGUGUGUGUGUGUAUAUAUAUAUAUAUCAGGCAUCACAGAUGUCUCCCUUCCUUUUUUUUCUUCUCCUUCCUCCCUUGCUGUCUCCAUCCUUCCCCUUCUUCUCUUCCUCCCCACCUUCCUUCCUUUUAUUCCUGCUAGUAUUUCUAAGACAUUGUACAUAGAGUCACCACACUUAGUUUAAAAAAAAAAAAAAAAAGAAAAAGA